RNAcentral lists this long non-coding RNA (854 nucleotides) under Sorghum bicolor (sorghum). RNAcentral describes it as "long non-coding RNA (SBIC_LNC008200)". Lineage: Eukaryota; Viridiplantae; Streptophyta; Magnoliopsida; Poales; Poaceae. The record is from RNAcentral.
AUCUGCUCCUAGAGAUGCUAGAAUUCUGGAGGAUUUUAUCUUUGAAAACCUUUAAAAUAUUGCAUGAUGAGUUCCUAUAUGAUGAGAGUUUAAAUUCCUACCACAGUCAUAUAUACAUGCUUGCUAGACUUUGAGCCACACAUUUACUUUUUACUGCUUAUGAGCAUUGAGUGUGGUCAAGCUGUGUAGACCCUUAGGAGCUUGUCAUGUGGUUAAAAUCAAGAUUCACUUGCACGUUGACUCAUACAUGCUGCUUCUACUCCGGAAGUACGCAUCCGCAUAUAUCCACCCAUUUCCAUCUCCAAAACCACCCAAAAAUACUCUACUCCUAAUACGGGAGAGAAUAGCCAAAAAUAUUUCUGUUUUCCCCUGUGAAAUAAAUGCUCAAGUUAUCUUGGUUACUACCACUUGCAACAUUAUUUCAAGAGAUGAGUGCUCUAAAAAAGAGAGAAAAAAGAUACGAGGAAAUAAAAAGGGGCAAGUGCCCGGAACCUCGAAAGAAAAAAAGUGAGACGAGAGGUAAAAAUGGACAAGUGUCCGAUAGUAGACAAGAUACCCACCUGAUAGGAAAGAAAAAGAAAAUACAGAGCAUCUCAUUCUCCCCAAAAGUUUCAAAAGAGCAAGGAAGGUAUGUAUCCCCUCAAAAGAGCAAAAGUAGAAUUAGACUUUCACCAUUGUUAUCACCAUCAUCACCAUACACCAUUCAUUCGUCACACAUGCACAUCUUGAUUUGACUUAUUGACUUAUUUCUCUGGAUCCAUGGUUUGACUAUACAAUAAAUGUCUUGUAAGUAUGUAUAUUUUAUCUCCCACCUAUGACAUCUAGGUAUCAAAGCCUUAUUAGAGUAGGGUGAU